Molecule: ribosomal RNA, 253 nt
Filed under: uncultured bacterium
Lineage: Bacteria
Description: partial 16S ribosomal RNA
Rfam family: Bacterial small subunit ribosomal RNA
Source: RNAcentral
UACGGGGGGGGCAAGCGUUGUUCGGAAUUACUGGGCGUAAAGGGCUCGUAGGUGGCCAACUAAGUCAGACGUGAAAUCCCUCGGCUUAACCGGGGAACUGCGUCUGAUACUGGAUGGCUUGAGUUUGGGAGAGGGACGCGGAAUUCCAGGUGUAGCGGUGAAAUGCGUAGAGAUCCGGAGGAACACCGACGGCGCAGGCAGCGUCCUGGCCGCUUGCUGACACUGAGGCACGAAAGCUGGGGGAGCAAACAGG